UACGUAGGGCGCGAGCGUUGUCCGGAAUUAUUGGGCGUAAAGAGCUCGUAGGCGGCCUGUUGCGUCCGCUGUGAAAUCCCAGGGCUCAACCCUGGGCGUGCAGUGGAUACGGGCAGGCUGGAGGCAGGCAGGGGAGAACGGAAUUCCCGGUGUAGCGGUGAAAUGCGCAGAUAUCAGGAAGAACACCUAUGGCGAAGGCAGCUCUCUGGGACGGUACUGACGCUGAGACGCGAAAGCGUGGGGAGCGAACAGG
Molecule: ribosomal RNA, 253 nt
Filed under: uncultured bacterium
Lineage: Bacteria
Description: partial 16S ribosomal RNA
Rfam family: Bacterial small subunit ribosomal RNA
Source: RNAcentral